GAGCCACCCAGGCGCCCCUUGAAAUUCGCUUUGACAUACGAGUGCUUUGGAAGACAAGCAUGUUUCCGGAAUGAACUAUGCUAGCAAACCAAGGUU
Lynx canadensis (Canada lynx) is the source of this 96-nucleotide long non-coding RNA. RefSeq lists it as uncharacterized. NCBI's taxonomy places the organism in Eukaryota, Metazoa, Chordata, Mammalia, Carnivora, Felidae. The record is from RefSeq and is a predicted model, not a curated record. The transcript is spliced from 3 exons.